ACAGCAGUAGCCGCGGGAAUACGUAGGUGGCGAGCGUUGUCCGGAAUUAUUGGGCGUAAAGGGAGCGCAGGCGGACAUAUAAGUCCAUCUUAAAAGUGCGGGGCUCAACCCCGUGAGGAGAUGGAAACUGUAUGCCUUGAGUGCAGGAGAGGAAAGCGGAAUUCCCAGUGUAGCGGUGAAAUGCGUAGAUAUUGGGAGGAACACCAGUGGCGAAGGCGGCUUUUUGGACUGCAACUGACGCUGAGGCUCGAAAGCCAGGGGAGCGAACGGGAUUAGAUACCCCCGUAGUCCCUGUCUCUUAUACA
This 305-nucleotide ribosomal RNA is filed under the name uncultured bacterium. RNAcentral describes it as "partial 16S ribosomal RNA". It matches the Rfam family "Bacterial small subunit ribosomal RNA", at positions 506 to 809 of the family's 1533-position model. The record is from RNAcentral.